UACGGGAGGCAGCAGUGGGGAAUUUUGGACAAUGGGCGCAAGCCUGAUCCAGCCAUCCCGCGUGCAGGAAGAAGGCCUUCGGGUUGUAAACUGCUUUUGUCCGGAAAGAAAAGUUUGGUUUAAUACCGGGGGAUCAUGACGGUACCGUAAGAAUAAGCCCCGGCUAACUACGUGCCAGCAGCCGCGGUAAUACGUAGGGUGCAAGCGUUUUUCGGAAUUACUGGGCGUAAAGCGUGCGCAGGCGGUUUUGUAAGACAGAUGUGAAAUCCCCGGGCUCAACCUGGGAACUGCUUUUGAGACUGCAAGGCUAGAGUGCGGCAGAGGGGGGUGGAAUUCCGCGUGUAGCAGUGAAAUGCGUAGAUAUGCGGAGGAACACCAAUGGCGAAGGCAAUCCCCUGGGCCUGCACUGACGCUCAUGCGCGAAAGCGUGGGGAGCAAACAGGAUUAGAUACCCUGGUAGUCCACGCCCUAAACGAUGUCAACUGGUUGUUGGGUCUUUACUGAUUCAGUAACGAAGCUAACGCGAGAAGUUGACCGCCUGGGAGACGC
Molecule: ribosomal RNA, 549 nt
Filed under: uncultured beta proteobacterium
Lineage: Bacteria; Pseudomonadati; Pseudomonadota; Betaproteobacteria
Description: bacterial SSU rRNA
Rfam family: Bacterial small subunit ribosomal RNA
Source: RNAcentral